Molecule: non-coding RNA, 97 nt
Organism: Hypoxylon trugodes
Lineage: Eukaryota; Fungi; Ascomycota; Sordariomycetes; Xylariales; Hypoxylaceae
Source: the annotation of a RefSeq genome assembly
GCCCGCGUAGCUCAAUGGUUAGAGCGUGUGACUUUUAUUAGCUUUCAGUUAAUGAAAGGCCAUCCCAAGGUUGUGAGUUCGAGUCUCACCGUGGGCG